Molecule: long non-coding RNA, 1285 nt
Organism: Lates calcarifer (barramundi perch)
Lineage: Eukaryota; Metazoa; Chordata; Actinopteri; Centropomidae
Exons: 3
Source: RefSeq, a predicted model, not a curated record
GGGGGGGUUAGGGUUAGGGUUAGGGUUAGGGGUUAGGGUUAGGGUUAGGGGUUAGGGUUAGGAUAGAGGGUUUUAGCCAGAAGUGCCAGGGGGUGCACUUGGAUUUUGGCGAAUACCUUUGUCUGUGGUGGUCACAGAGUCACGAGACCCACAUGCUCCCCCACUAAUUCUAUGAUGGGCUUUCCAACGGUGCCAGCCCCAUGUCUCUACGAGCUAGCGUCAGCGAGCUACAGUGAUAUGGAGGGGGGGUGCAGUUGUAUUUGGCCCAAUAACUUUGUCUGUGGUGGUCGCAGAGUCAUGAGACCCACAUGCUCCCCCACUAAUUCCACGAUGGGCUUUCCAACGGCACCAGCCACGAGUCUCUCUGAGCUUGCGUUAGGGUUAUGGUUAGGGUUAGGGUUAGGGUUAGAGAUAGAGGGUGCAGUUGUAUUUGGCCCAAUAACUUUGUCUGUGGUGGUCGCAGAGUCACGAGACCCACAUGCUCCCCCACUAAUUCUAUGAUGGGCUUUCCAACGGUGCCAGCCCCAUGUCUCUACGAGCUAGCGUCAGCGAGCUACAGUGAUAUGGAGGGGGGGUACAGUUGUAUUUGGCCCAGUAACUUUGUCUGUGGUGGUCGCAGAGUCACGAGACCCACAUGCUCCCCCACUAAUUCCAUGAUGGGCUUUCCAACGGCACCAGCCACGAGUCUCUCUGAGCUUGCGUUGCUGAGAUAUACUCUGUAUGCUCUCUGGGCCUCAUAUAUGGGUGCGGCCUUAGCGAGAAUUCACUCUGGCUGAGGAUGAUAGAGGGUUUUAGCCAGAAGUGCCAGGGGGUGCACUUGGAUUUUGGCGAAUACCUUUGUCUGUGGUGGUCACAGAGUCACGAGACCCACAUGCUCCCCCACUAAUUCUAUGAUGGGCUUUCCAACGGUGCCAGCCCCAUGUCUCUACGAGCUAGCGUCAGCGAGCUACAGUGAUAUGGAGGGGGGGUGCAGUUGUAUUUGGCCCAAUAACUUUGUCUGUGGUGGUCGCAGAGUCAUGAGACCCACAUGCUCCCCCACUAAUUCCACGAUGGGCUUUCCAACGGCACCAGCCACGAGUCUCUCUGAGCUUGCGUUAGGGUUAUGGUUAGGGUUAGGGUUAGGGUUAGAGAUAGAGGGUGCAGUUGUAUUUGGCCCAAUAACUUUGUCUGUGGUGGUCGCAGAGUCACGAGACCCACAUGCUCCCCCACUAAUUCUAUGAUGGGCUUUCCAACGGUGCCAGCCCCAUGUCUCUACGAGCUAGCGUCAGCGAGCUACAGUGAUAUG